GGACUACCGGGGUAUCUAAUCCCGUUCGCUCCCCUGGCUUUCGUGUCUCAGCGUCAGCACAGCCCCAGCAGUCUGUUUUCACCUUUGGCGUUCCAGACGAUAUCUACGCAUUUCACCGCUCCACCGUCUGUUCCGACUGCCCCUGGCUGGCUCAAGACAGGCAGUAUACCCAGCAGUUCCACGGUUGAGCCGUGGGAUUUCACAAGGUACUUGCCCGCCCGCCUACACACGCUUUAAGCCCAGUGAUUCCGCCUAACGCUCGGCACCUCUGUCUUACCGCGGCUGCUGGCAC
This 292-nucleotide ribosomal RNA is filed under the name uncultured bacterium. Its description in RNAcentral is "partial 16S ribosomal RNA". The record is from RNAcentral.